Molecule: ribosomal RNA, 885 nt
Filed under: uncultured Glomeromycotina
Lineage: Eukaryota; Fungi; Glomeromycota
Description: eukaryotic LSU rRNA
Rfam family: Eukaryotic large subunit ribosomal RNA (bases 512-885)
Source: RNAcentral
AGUAAAGUCGUACAAGGUUCGUAGUGACCUGCGAGAUCAUAUAAUAUUAGCUGCUGCUUCAUCAGCCUAGCUGCGAUCCAUGUAUGCAACCCCCACUCUUUUAAUAUGAUCAUAUUUUAUAUAAAAAUAAUAUCAAGAUCACUUUCACAACGGAUCUCUUGGCUCUCGCAUCGAUGAAGAACGUAGCUAAGUGCGAUAAGUAAUGUGAAUUGCAGAAUUCCGUGAAUCAUCGAAUCUUUGAACGCAAAUUGCACUUCCUGGUACUCCGGGAAGUAUGCCUGUUUGAGGGUCAGUAUAAUAACAAUCGAGAGUGUUGCUUUUUUUUUUAUUUGGUAUCACUUUCGGAAUUGAGUUAUCUUGACCCCAUGGUUUUAAGUGACUUAAAAUUAAAAUUUCAUACGUAUUUAGGCGUGAUUAGAAUUUUCUAUGCGUCUCGAAUACUGGGAUGUUUUUAUUAGGCAUGACCAUCGUCAUCAUAAUGGUAAACGUGCCUAUAAUUUAUUUUUGAAAAUGACCUCAAAUCAGGUAAGAAUACCCGCUGAACUUAAGCAUAUCAAUAAGCGGAGGAAAAGAAAAUAACAAUGAUUCCUUUAGUAACUGCGAGUGAAGAGGGAAAAGCUCAAAUUUAAAAUCUGUUAGGUUUACCUAACCGAGUUGUAAUUCGAAGAAGCGUUUUCGGUGUUUAUUGGUUGGCCUAAAUCCCUUGGAAUGGGGUAUCAUGGAGGGUGAGAAUCCCGUACGGCUAAUCAUUACGCUCUACGAUACGCUUUCUAAGAGUCAAGUUGUUUGGGAUUGCAGCUUAAAAUGGGAGGUAAAUUUCUCCUAAGGCUAAAUAUUGGCGAGAGACCGAUAGCGAACAAGUACCGUGAGGGAAGGAUGAAAAGU